RNAcentral lists this non-coding RNA (820 nucleotides) under Drieschia cf. elegans BG-2021. Lineage: Eukaryota; Metazoa; Annelida; Polychaeta; Phyllodocida; Polynoidae. The record is from RNAcentral.
UUAAAGUUUGAUUCUAGCUUCCUAAUUAAUUAAGGCUCAAUACAACACAUGCAUAUUAUUUGAACCAGGAAAAGCUUCUAUUAUUUAACACAACUUUUGGCUAAUAAAAUUUAGUUAAUUUUCUCAUCGGCCCCAAAUUUUCCGUCUGCAGUGAUCAACUCUUAUUACCUCGCCGCCAGUUGGAAUAGGUUAUUGCCCUAAAGGACGGCCAAAUCUGUGCCAGCAGCCGCGGUUACACAGAAGGCCUAAAUUAAUUCUCACGGACCGCUUGUUUCCCUGGAUUUUAAAAUUUAAAUUAGAGGUUUAAUUCCAAUUUCUUAUUUUUUCUUCUCAAUCCUCUUAAAUUACGAAAGUGAAGUCUAAAACAAGGAUUAGAUACCCUUUUAUUCUUAACCGUAAAUUUCAUUUGACUGGGCACUACGAACUCAUGUUUAAAACCCAAAGAACUUGGCGGUACCUUAACCUCCUAGGGGAACCUGUGAAUUAAUUCGAUAACCCACGCUUACCCCUACUUUUUCUUGAUUUUUCAGCCUGUGUACUGCCGUCGUCAGUCUACCUUUAGAAAGCUAAGUAGACCAUUCUAGACUUCUUCUUUUACGUCAGGUCCAAGUGCAGCUAAUGAAAAAGUUUUCAUGGGUUACAACCCUAAUUUAAGGAUAAUGGAUGAUUGUUUAAAAUCAAUCUGAAAGUGGACUUAGUUGUAAAGAAGGAUGCUUCUCCUUUCUGAACCUGGAAAUCUAAGGUGUGCACAAAUCGCCCGUCACUCCCCUCUAAAGAGGGGAUAAGUCGUAACAUAGUAGAGGUAAUGGAAAUUGCCCCU